UUGAUUAUAAAUACAAAUAAGUAAUUAUAUAAAAAUUAAAGGGUAAAUAACGAAUAUCUUAUAGCAUAAAAGUUUCUGGCGCCUAAUCGAGCGAAAUAUACAAUGAGUCGAAAAAUUACUUAGAAUUGUAAAUUCCAGCAGAGAAAUCUAACAUUUAAAUAUUGUUCUUACCUAAUUAAGUGAAACAUCUCAAUAGUUAGAGGAAAGGAAAAUAAUUAAAGAUUUUGUUAGUAAUGGUGAGUGAAAACAAAAUAGCCAAAAUUUGAAUUUAAGGAAAUAGAAGUCUUAUAUGAUUUAAGCGCCAUAGAAGGUGAAAGCCCUUUAUAAUUUCUUAUUUUUAAUAUAUAUAAUAAUGAGUAAAAUAAAAUCUGUGAAAUUUUAUUGGAAAAAGGCAAACCCAUUUGCUAAGGCUAAAUACACUUUUAUGACUAAUAGUGAACAAGUACUGUGAAGGAAAGAUGAAAAGACAAAGUUAAAAGAUCUUGAAAUUGUUUACCUUAAGGAUCUAGAGCGCAGCGAAUGUGUUAUAGGGUGCCUUUUGCAUAAUGAGCGGGCGAUUUCUAAGGAACUAGCAAACUAUGGUCGUUAGAUGAAGGUGAAGUGAAAGCGAGCUUUAAUUAAGCGUUAAGUUAGUUUUUUGAGACUCGAUACUAAGCGAUCUAUUUACUGCCAGAUUGAAAGUACUUUAACACGUACUGAAGGAUCGAACCCAUGUAUGUUGCAUAAUACCGGGAUGAGUGGUAGCUAGGGGUGAAAGGCUAAUCAAGCUUAGUGUUAGCUAGUACUCUACGAAAUCUAUUUAGGUAGAGCGUUCUGUUCACAUUAUUGUUGGUAGAGCUCUAGGUAAGCAAUGGGAAUUAAUACUUCUACUGAGUUUACUUAAACUGCGAAUAGCAAUAAAUUUUUUUACAGAGCAGGCAGAUUGCGGGCGCGAAGGUUCGUAAUCGAAAGGGAAACAGCCCAGAAUAUCAGCUAAAGUCCAUAAAAAUAAUUAAGUGUAUGAAAUAAUCUAAAGUGUUAUAACAAUUAGGAGGUUGGCUUAGAAGCAGCCAUCCUUUAAAGAAAGCGUAACAGCUCACUAAUUUUAUAAAAGCAUUAUAGGGUUUUAUGAUAUAACGGACUAAAAUUAUUUACUGAAGCUAUAUGUAAAUCGGUAGUAGAGUAUCUUAUAUUUUAUAGAUAAAUUUGUGAGAAUUUAUUAAUAUAUUAAGAGAAAGUAUGCCUGUAUGAGUAGCAAAGAAUAGUGAGAAACUAUUCCACCGUAUAUAUAAGGUUUCCUAUUUAUAAAUUUAUUUUAAUAGGGUUAAUCGGCCCCUAAGUUUUAUAAUGACAAUUAUAGGCGAUGGGUUUUGGGUUAAAAUUCUCAAAUUUUUCAGUAAGUGACAAAGGGGGCAGGUUAUUUAAUUUUAAUAAAAUUAAUUAAGUAAUCAGGACCUUUCCGGAAAAAGCUUUGAAAAUAAAAAACCGUACUUAAAUCGGCUCCGAUAUUUUGAUAGAGUAUAUUAAGGUGAUAGGAUAAUAAUAUUGAAGGAACUCGGCAAAAUAGCUCCGUAACUUCGGGAGAAGGAGUACCUUUUGUAAGCAAUUACUUAUAGGUGUAACAGAAUAGAGGGUAGCGACUGUUUACUAAAAACACAGGACUCCGCUAAGUUGUAAAACGAUGUAUAGGGUCUGACACCUGCCCGGUGCUGAAAGAUAAAAAGGAUUGGUAGGAAUGCCAUGAAUAUAAAUCUCAGUAAACGGCGGCUGUAACCAUAACGGUCCUAAGGUAGCGAAAUUCCUUGUCGGGUGAGUUCCGACCUGCAUGAAUGGUGUAACGACUUCCCUACUGUCUCCAGUAUUAACCUAGUGAAAUUAAACUUGCUGUGAAGAUGCAGUAUAUAAAUGAUUGGACGGAAAGACCCUGUACACCUUUACUAUAAUCAUAGAUUGUUUUUAAAAUAUUGAAUAUGUAGGAUAAACAGCAAGCUUAUUAUACUUUAAUGCUAGUUAAUUGUUUAGGCAAUAGUGAAAUACUGUUUUUUUAAUUUUUAAAACUAACUAAAUUUUAGGAUAGUUUAUGACUGGUAGUUUGACUGGGGUGGUCGCCUUCUAAAUAGUAACGAAGGCGUGCAAAUGGUAAUAAUAAUUAAUUAAAAAUUAAUUUGAAAAUUUAAUGGUAAAAGAUUGCUUGACUGAGUAGAUCGACAGAUCGAGUCAGAGACGAAAGUCGGCCAUAGUGAUCCAAUAGUGCUGAAUGGAAGGGCUAUUGCUUAACGGAUAAAAGGUACGUCAGGGAUAACAGGCUAAUGGGCCCUAAGAGUCCUUAUCGACGGGCUUGUUUGGUACCUCGAUGUCGACUCAUCACAUCCUGGAGCUGCAGGCGGUUCCAAGGGUUAGGCUGUUCGCCUAUUAAAGUGGUACGUGAGUUGGGUUUAGAACGUCGUGAGACAGUUCGGUUCCUAUCUGUCAUUUUGUAAAAACUAAAAAAAUGUUUCUUUUGUACGAGAGGAUUGAGAAAUGUAUACCACUGGUAAAUCGAUUGUACUGUCAAAGGCAUUGUCGAGUAGCUACGUAUAAAUUUUAUAAUUGCUGAUAGCGUAUAAGCAAGAAAAUGAUUUUUAUGUUUUUUUAAACGGUUGUAGAUAAUAACUUUUUAUAGGCGCGAAAUUAAAUUUGGUAACGAAUGGUUUACGCGUACUAAUUAUUAAAUUUUUUAUAUAUGAUUUUUUUGCAAUUU
Molecule: ribosomal RNA, 2719 nt
Filed under: Acanthamoeba castellanii
Lineage: Eukaryota; Discosea; Longamoebia; Acanthamoebidae
Description: LSU rRNA
Rfam family: Bacterial large subunit ribosomal RNA
Source: RNAcentral